UACGGAGGGCGCAAGCGUUGUUCAGAAUCACUGGGCGUAAAGCGCGUGUAGGCGGCCGGGCAAGUCGGGUGUGAAAUCCCGAGGCUCAACCUCGGAACUGCAUUCGAAACUGCUCGGCUCGAGUCCCGGAGAGGAUGGCGGAAUUCCCGGUGUAGGGGUGAAAUCCGUAGAUAUCGGGAGGAACACCAGCGGCGAAGGCGGCCAUCUGGACGGUGACUGACGCUGAGACGCGAAAGCGUGGGGAGCAAACAGG
Molecule: ribosomal RNA, 253 nt
Filed under: uncultured bacterium
Lineage: Bacteria
Description: partial 16S ribosomal RNA
Rfam family: Bacterial small subunit ribosomal RNA
Source: RNAcentral